RNAcentral lists this ribosomal RNA (484 nucleotides) under uncultured bacterium. Its description in RNAcentral is "partial 16S ribosomal RNA". It matches the Rfam family "Bacterial small subunit ribosomal RNA", at positions 30 to 507 of the family's 1533-position model. The record is from RNAcentral.
ACUGAACGCUGGCGGCAGGCCUAACACAUGCAAGUCGAGCGGAUGAAGCGAGCUUGCUCCUGGAUUCAGCGGCGGACGGGUGAGGAAUGCCUAGGAAACGGCCUGGUAGUGGGGGACAACGUCAGGAAACGGGCGCUAAUACCGCAUACGUCCUGAGGGAGAAAGUGGGGGAUCUUCGGACCUCACGCAACUAGCUGAGCCUAGGUCGGAUUAGCUAGUCGGUGGGGUAAAGGCCUACCAAGGCGACGGUCCGUAACUGGUCUGAGAUGAUGAUCAGUCACACUAGAACUGAGACGCGGUCCAGAUUCCUACGGGGGGCAGCGGUGGGAGGUGUUGAACAAUGAGCGGAAGCCUGAUCCGGCCGUGCCGCGUGUGUGAAGGAGGUCUUCGGAUUUUAAAGCACUUUAAGUUGGGAGUGAGGGCAGUAAAUUUAUUCCUUGCUGUUUUGACGUUACCAACAGAAUAAGCACCGGCUAACUUCGUG